UAGGGAAUCUUCGGCAAUGGGGGCAACCCUGACCGAGCAACGCCGCGUGAGUGAAGAAGGUUUUCGGAUCGUAAAGCUCUGUUGUAAGAGAAGAACGUGUGUGAGAGUGGAAAGUUCACACAGUGACGGUAACUUACCAGAAAGGGACGGCUAACUACGUGCCAGCAGCCGCGGUAAUACGUAGGUCCCGAGCGUUGUCCGGAUUUAUUGGGCGUAAAGCGAGCGCAGGCGGUUUAAUAAGUCUGAAGUUAAAGGCAGUGGCUUAACCAUUGUUCGUUUUGGAAACUGUUAAACUUGAUGGCAGAAGGGGAGAGUGGAAUUCCAUGUGGAGCGGUGAAAUGCGUAGAUAUAUGGAGGAACACCGGUGGCGAAAGCGGCUCUCUGGUCUGUAACUGACGCUGAGGCUCGAAAGCGUGGGGAGCAAACAGG
RNAcentral lists this ribosomal RNA (429 nucleotides) under bacterium. RNAcentral describes it as "partial 16S ribosomal RNA". It matches the Rfam family "Bacterial small subunit ribosomal RNA", at positions 355 to 776 of the family's 1533-position model. The record is from RNAcentral.